This is a non-coding RNA of Pseudonaja textilis, 4739 nucleotides long. Lineage: Eukaryota; Metazoa; Chordata; Lepidosauria; Squamata; Elapidae. The record is from RefSeq and is a predicted model, not a curated record.
AUAUAUAAUGUAUAUACAAAAGUGUUAUGUGCCAUAUGUAGCAAUUUUUUUACAGUAUUUCAAAAAUGAGAACGAUAUCAAUGGUGCCUUUAUGUUAUGUUGAGAGCAAGUUUUGUAAAAGUUACUAGUGACUGCUGUUCCACAGUAUUUUGCAGAAGUCUCUAACAGUCUGUUUCCCAUCGGGUUCAUGGUGGCUGGCUGUACGGUCUGUAAGAACUGCAACCUUCCCCUGUCUUGCUUGUCGUAGCUCUGAUAAAAGAAAAAGAAAAAUCCAUACUGGCAUACCAACCUAGAAACAAAACAUGCUCAUUCCUUCUUUGAAGAGGCUUCUAUUUCCUUGCGUUUUAUGAGUUUUUCUCUGACAAAAAACAAGACUGAUUUUGGAACCCUUGAGAAAAUGGGUAGGUUCAAUAGCCCGCCAUUGUUUUAUUUGGUUUCUUAAAGGAUAAUACAGCUUUCAGGAACAUAGAACUAUAUCCAAUAUUAGAUACCCCUGUAGGUUUGUCCAUUUGACUAUAAUUACCCAAGAAUCUACCUGAAUUUAAAUAGGAGCUAUCACUGCUACCACCAACAACCUUUUCACUCAGACACACAUGGACAUGCACAGACAUAGUUUUGAUUCAUGUAACAAUAUUUCCUAGAUGUUCGGAGUGAUUUGACAGAAACAUAGUGGGAUCCAAUCUGGCAGGAAGCCCUUCUAUGCAAGCAUCUUUUAAAUUAAUAGGAUGGAUCCAAGAGCAAGGAGUUUCUUGCUUUGGUGUCCUUUGUAUAGGAGAACGUGCUACUGAAUUAUCUUGGGUUAAGUAAAUUGUAGUACCAGAGCAGGUAUUUUUAGACCAUCAAGGAAGUGGAUAAAAACAGAGGAAAUGUAAUACCCACUGCUAAAAUUACGGUCAUUUUGAAACAAUAUUUUCAGGUAGAGCAUUUUUUUUUUCACUUUAAAUUGGGAAGAUCAAUACCAAAAAUAGGAUUUCACGGUGGAUUAUCACUUCCUGUAUGCUUAAAUUUUCUAGUUUACAUAUGGAUGGAAUCCAAAUGUCGUAAAAUGAGCUCUGAUAGAAAAAGAUAAACAUGUUCUGUAUGCCUAGUGACCUAUUAUGUUUUUUACCUUAAGUAUUAGUAAGAUGAGCAUGUUUAUACUUCUCAGGCUCCCGUCAUGCAUGGGUUUUUGUUAUAUAAAUAUAUAUAUAUAAAUAUAUGCAUGCGGCCAGAAAUAGAUAGAAGCCGCCUUUCUUCGAGGCAUGUUGGAGAAACAAUUUGGACAUGAUAAGAGCAAGUGCAUUUGUUUAAAGUUUGGCCCAAUCACUUAGAAGGGUUCUAUUUCUAGAGCAAAAAGAUCAAGGCAGGUGAAAGAAGCUUGUCUAAGUGGAAUGUAUUCCUCUGGGGACAGGAAAAGGAGGCAGGAGGAACAGAGUGCUGUGCUGCAGAUAGGAACAAAGUAAUCAUCUAUGCUAUGAUUUUCUCCCCCAACUAUGUAACCUCUUACCCCGCUUUCUGCAUCAUUUAGGCAGACUUAGUUCAUACAAACAGGUCUGGUAUUUAAUUUGGCACCACCAGCAGCAUUACUGCAGCUUCUAAAUUCACAAGCCAGCAAUUUAUUUUGGAGACCUGAAUCUGGGAUAAAAUUAGCCUUGAUUUAUAACGUACUACAGAGUGCAGCCCAGAGGCCAAAGACUAACAAAUCUAUUCUCUUGGCCUUCCUAGCAUUGGCAAUCAUGUCCAGUUGAUACUGUUGUAAAUGAAAAGCAAAAUGGUUUGCAUAAGUGCUGCUGAGCUUUGGGAGAAUCAGCAAGUAAAAAGUAUUUUAUAAAUUAGACCCUGUGCUCAAGUUUGCUUAAUACUGGUAUCUUCACAGAAGGCCUAAUUUUGGAGAAUGUUAACUUGAUUACAGGAGGCUAACAGGGCAAUUCUAGUCCUAUGUAUUGGAAAAUAAUUAUACAGUAGACUUCUGCAUAAAACUGGUUAGAAUUGUGCUAUAAAAUGAUUUUUACAUUUCAGAAGCACCAGUAAAACACAUUCCCAUGAUGUAACAUACAUUCACUACGAGUUUCCAAAUCAUCAUAUUGACUUCAGCUGGGUAUUGAAGCAAACUCUGGUGUUGACUUCUGAUUCAUAACUUUAUUUGUGUUGCCUAAUAUUCACUUGUAGGCUUCAAUUGCAUUCCCUUUCUCUUGACAAAAUAGGUUUUUUUCCUGCAUUGCUUGAAGAACCCAACGCAGGGGCAUCUAACCUUGGCAACUUUAAGACUUCUGAACUUCAAUUCCCAGAAUUCCCCAGCCAGCAUGCUUGGCUGGGGAAUUCUGGGAGUUGAGGUGCACAGGUCUCAAGGUUGAUGAUGUAGGGCACUCCUGCUCUAGGAGGUUCUUAUUUCUAAGCAUUUUCCAAAUAUAAACCCUUUUCCAAAAUUGGAUUAUUUUAUAGGAACUGUUUGGCUAAGAUGCCAAAUAUUCUAAGAGAGGAAGAAGAAUGAGCAGGGACAUUCUUUCUUAAGCAUAAAGUUGAACAGACCAGAGAAAGUUUUCCAGAAUAUUACCAAUCCUUGACAUUGUGGACUCUGCUAUUAAUAUGCAUACUUCUUCCAGUAAUCUUCCUUUGGUUUUCUGUUGCUUCAGAGUCAUUAAGGCUAUUGUGUGUAGGCUAUUCGGGGGGAAAUAGUGAAACAGAUAUGUAUAUAUUUCAUUUUGAGUGCUUGAUAGAGUAUAUUGGGGCUCCAAUAUGAAAGAAAACAGAAGAAACAAUUUCAGAUUUCAGGAAGACUAUUCCGACUCUAUAGCGUAUGGUAUAGAUUAAAAAGAGUUUUAGAGACUACACAUUUCACCAGUCUUAUCGCGUUCUUCCAAUAGUCGUCUGCACACAUUCCUUUCUUUUAAAUACAUUAAUGCAUUCUAUUCCUGCCAGGGCAGACAAUAUUUCCACUACAUUAAUAUCCCUUUAAUCUUUAACUGUCUUUCCAUGUAUUCUUCUGAAACUAAAACUCACCUAUGCACGACUGUCUCGUGUUCUCCUUUCUGUGCUUACCAAUACAAAACUGAUAGGUGCGUCAACCUGAUCUCCCUGCAUUUUGGAUGCACUUCAUCAUUCUCAAAACUUUCCUUGCAAUAUUGAAGGCGGGAUCCCCAGAGGAACCUGGGAAGAGAAAAUCCAUGCAUUUUGAUUGCCUUGCCUUGCUGCUGAAUCUCACUCUGGGCUAGUGGACUGGGGGAAAAGCCGUAUGGAUUCUUCUCACAUUUGAGUCUGUUGCCUGGCAUUGAGUCCCUACUGGAUAUUUCCUUUGAGUGGAACUCAACUCCUGGUGACUUCAUAGGCAUAGGCAAGGAUAGUUCCUUUGAUUAUAAUACUGCCUUUUAAAAUAUGUGAAAACGAUGUGGGUAAGGGAGAGAGUUUAAAUUAAUGUAAUAUGGCUUUGAGGAAGAUGCACUGCUCAGGAUUGCACGUACAUUGAAAAAUGGCUCUAAACCAGUUAUAAUUCUACCAGAAAAGAAAUGCAAUCAAAUUAAUGGGAAGUAAUCAUGUAACUGCACUUAAAUUCAUUCAACUAAACUUAAAUUUAAAUUAAAUUGACUUGAAUUUUUCCUCUGGUCCUAAUUCUUUUAUUUUAUGCUGGGUCCCUUCAGACUUCAAGUAGGUAACUUGAGCUGGCCAAUGCAACCCUCAGUCCAUAAUGAAACUAUGCAUGCCCUGUUGUAAUGGGUAACACUUCUGUGCCACUUAGCUUAAUAUCUUACUCUGUUAACUGAUGUGUCCAGAUUAGUUUGUGCAUGAAUAUUGCUUGAUUUCUCAUCAUUUUGUAAUGCACAAUUGAAUGAAUUGUGAUAAGAGUUGGUUUUGGACAAUAAGAACAUUCCAUCUAGAUAAUUAAGCUGUGGACAGUGCAUUUACAGUUAUAAAUCAAUGCUGCAUCCAUGACAAAUAAGUGUUAACCUCAAUAGUAGUGUGAAGAACAGCUAUGGAUUAUAAGCAAGAAUGGGUUAUAAGCCAUUCCUCUCAACAAUUCCCAUUUCAUAAAACAAAACAUUACGUAGAAAUAUCCAAUGUAGUAAGAAAAAUAUGAUUGAAAGGCAAUUUCAAUUCUCAGGGCAAUUUUAUUUUAUGCAUUCAAAUGUUAUUCCAUAAAUGUAUUGAGUGUGGUGUUUCUACUCACUUCUAUUUAAUCUUUAAUUUGGAAAAAAAAAAGUUAUGUCAAGUGAAACAGCAGUCAGAAUAAAGAAUUGCUCUUAUGAAUGUAGCUGAUGCUCCAGUUCAGUUCAGACAUCUCAUGUUUGUUAUCUUAAGAAAAUGCACCAAUUAAAGUUCUAGACUGGAUGCGGCAUACAUAGAACAGGGUAUCCGGGAUCUCUGCACAUAUACAUUUUCAUCAGCCAACAAUCUUUUUCUGUGUAAGCUAAGCCAUGUUAGCCACUAUUAGUGGCUAAUGGAUAACAAAUAAUGUAUAGUUCUUUUUUUAAAGGUUGAAGUAUCAUCACGCCCAUAUUUUCCCAUGGUUGAUAUCAAAGCAUGGAGUGGCUACUUGAAUAUUUAGCAAGAUGUGUUGAUGUCUGACUAAAUUGCACAUCUUUAAUAAGCGACAUAAGCAGAGUCUGUUUUCGGCUGAAUUUGUAAUAGCCACAAUGGCUGAUGCUCAACCAAUCUGAAAUGCUGCAGAGAAAUGCAGGAAAUGCAAUGGCCACAUAUCAUUUUAAGUAUAUAUUAUUUUUGUAAAUACAUCUUGUACAUACUUGGAUGUUCCAUCACAAUCAUUU